Mustela erminea (ermine) is the source of this 616-nucleotide long non-coding RNA. RefSeq lists it as uncharacterized. NCBI's taxonomy places the organism in Eukaryota, Metazoa, Chordata, Mammalia, Carnivora, Mustelidae. The transcript is spliced from 2 exons. The record is from RefSeq and is a predicted model, not a curated record.
ACAGAGUUGAGCCUCACUGGCUAGAAGGGCCAGUUUUCUCAUCCCCCAAGCCCCGAUCCGAAGAAAGGGACAUGACAGGCCGACAUCACAGAGGGAAGGUUCGCCUCGGUGUACCCACAAACCCAGCCCGAAACUUAACGACGCGCUUACUCCACGGAUGCAACGCCGGGACAAAGGCAAUUUGGUACAGCAGGAAAAGAACUGAAGGAGCAGCCUAGCAACCGAGGCGCUAAAAUCGGGCUGAUCUCCGUGGGAGCACAGCCAAGUCCCCUCCCCUUCUCCUUACGGCCUCCACGACUGCACCUGUUCAUUCCGCCAGCAAGGUGGUUGUAUUUUUGCAAUCAUGACCCCAGCACGACCUCGGCCUCGCGCUGCCACUUUAGGGCAAGAGGUGUUCCCCACUCGGAACUCGAAAGAGAACAGCUGCGAGACGAGGGUCAGUCGCAGGGCCGCUAAAAGCUUCCCGAAAGCCAGGUCUCCAGGACCGAGAUGCCCAGGGAGGAGUCCCACGGCUCUGCAGGCUGGGGACCGGAGACCCGGGGCCUGCCAGAGGGUCCCUGCAGGGCGCCCGACCCGGGGAGGGGAGGGGCCCCAUUCCCGCGGUGGGGCGCGACGA